CUACGGGUGGCUGCAGUGGGGAAUAUUGCACAAUGGGCGCAAGCCUGAUGCAGCCAUGCCGCGUGUAUGAAGAAGGCCUUCGGGUUGUAAAGUACUUUCAGCGGGGAGGAAGGGAGUAAAGUUAAUACCUUUGCUCAUUGACGUUACCCGCAGAAGAAGCACCGGCAACUCCGUGGCCGGCAGCCGCGGUAAUACGGAGGGUGCAAGCGUUAAUCGGAAUUACUGGGCGUAAAGCGCACGCAGGCGGUUUGUUAAGUCAGAUGUGAAAUCCCCGGGCUCAACCUGGGAACUGCAUCUGAUACUGGCAAGCUUGAGUCUCGUAGAGGGGGGUAGAAUUCCAGGUGUAGCGGUGAAAUGCGUAGAGAUCUGGAUGAAUACCGGUGGCGAAGGCGGCCCCCUGGACGAAGACUGACGCUCAGGUGCGAAAGCGUGGGGAGCAAACAGGAUUAGAUACCCCAGUAGUC
RNAcentral lists this ribosomal RNA (464 nucleotides) under uncultured bacterium. Its description in RNAcentral is "partial 16S ribosomal RNA". It matches the Rfam family "Bacterial small subunit ribosomal RNA", at positions 339 to 795 of the family's 1533-position model. The record is from RNAcentral.